AUGGUGCCCGCAGGCGGGAGAGGGAGAGGCGGAUGGUUCUGCCGGUGGGAGGCCGCCCGCCGCUCCCCGGGCCUCAUCGUUCUAUCUCAGGCGGAGAUCGUGUCAUGGCGGCUAGAUCUGUUUGUUUUCUAUGUGAAGGACAUGUCUACCAAGCCAAGAAAAAGAAAAAAUAAGGAAGCGAAUGCAUCAUACGAUGAGUCAAAGCGGCACAUAGUUCUUUCUGGGAAGAGAAACAUCGUGGGAGUGGAUGACAAGACAGACAAGUCAGAAGAUUAUGAAAAGUUUGAUGAAAUUGCUCCAUUCACAGUGAAUAUUGACCCGAGCAUCCCGUUAAAUGAUGAAGAUUUUCCAUGGCUACGACGCAAAGGGACACACGCGAAGAAAAAGUUUCACACCCAAAGAUCUGGGAUGUGA
This 414-nucleotide ribosomal RNA is filed under the name Triticum aestivum (bread wheat). RNAcentral describes it as "partial small subunit ribosomal RNA". Lineage: Eukaryota; Viridiplantae; Streptophyta; Magnoliopsida; Poales; Poaceae. The record is from RNAcentral.